Mus caroli (Ryukyu mouse) is the source of this 1486-nucleotide non-coding RNA. Lineage: Eukaryota; Metazoa; Chordata; Mammalia; Rodentia; Muridae. The record is from RefSeq and is a predicted model, not a curated record.
AUGGCGAAGAGAGUUGUGGAGAAGGAGUUAACUGAAAGGAACUGAGAUGAAGAAGACGAAGUUGAAGAGAUGGGAACAUUCUCAGUGGCCAGUGAGGAAGUCAUGAAGAGCAGAGCCGUAAAGAAGGGAAAGUGUAGAAACGUUGGAUUUGAAUCUGAUAGCGGAGGAGCCUUUAAAGGUUUCAAAGGUUUGGUUGUGCCUUCCGUAGGAGGAGGGUUUUAUGGAUUUGGUGGCUCUGGAGGAAAGCCUCUGGAAAGACUGACAAAUGGAAAGAGCACAGACAAUGCCACGCCCUUCUCCAGUGUAAAGACAGCAGCAGAGCCCAAGGCAGCCUUUGGUUCUUUUGCUGUGAAUGGCCCUACUACCUUUGUGAUUAAAAAGAUUUCGAGUCCCAAAUGCAAUAGCAGCAAUCAGCCACGCUCCUCUGGCCCUGCGUCUAGUACUGCCUGCACUGGGAAUGCCUAUCACAAGCAGCUGGCUGGCUUGAACUGCUCCAUCACGGAUUGGAUAGUGAAGCGGUGAACACAAACCCGCUUUGUGACCUGACACCCAUUUUUAAAGACUAUGAGAAAUACUUGGCGACGGUCCAUCGAGAAACAGCUUGAGAAUGGAGGUGGCAGCAGUUCUGAGAGACAGACAGACAGGGCGACGGUUGGAAUGGAGCCUCCUUCCAUUUUUGGUUCAACAAAACUACAGCAAGAUUCACCAUUUUCAUUUCAUGGCAACAAAGCGGAGGACACAUCUGAAAAGGUGGAGUUUACAGCAGAAAAGAAAUCGGACGCAGCACAAGGAGCAACAAGUGCCUCGUUUAGUUUCAGCAGUUUUGGGACGCGUUAAGCUCUGGCUCCCUAACUGGGUUUUCAUUCUCUGCUGGAAACUCUAGUUUAUUUGGUAAAGCUGCUGCCCAGAGUAAAGCAGCCUCUUCACCGUUCUCUGCUAAAGCAUCCGAGAGUCAGGCAGGAGGCAGCAGCAGUGAGUGCAGAGAUGGUGAAGAAGAAGAGAAUGACGACCCACCGAAGGUAGUGGUAACGGAAGUAAAGGAAGAGGAUGCUUUCUACUCCAAAAAUGUAAAUUAUUUUACAAGAAAGACAAUAAAUUUAAAGAGAAGGGUGUUGGGACCCUGCAUUUUAAACCCACAGCAACUCAGAAGACCCAGCUCUUGGUGCGGGCAGACACCAACCUAGGCAACGUACUGCUGAAUGUUCUGAUUCCACCCAAUAUGCCGUGUACCUGAACAGGAAAACACAAUGUCCUUAUCAUCUGUGUCCCCACCCCCACACUUGAUGAGAGGCAGCCCACUCUCCCGGUCACCAUGCUGAUUCGGGUGAAGACGAGCAAGGAUGCCGAUAAAUUGCACAAGAAUUUACUGCAGAAAAAGGAUGCCUGAGCACUGAGGCUGACCAAGGCAUGUUGCCACGUUGCUGCUUCCCCUCUGUCCCUAACUUAGUCACAUUCUUUCCUCUUCUACUGUGACAUUCUGAGAACU